RNAcentral lists this ribosomal RNA (253 nucleotides) under uncultured bacterium. RNAcentral's name for it is "partial 16S ribosomal RNA". It matches the Rfam family "Bacterial small subunit ribosomal RNA", at positions 524 to 776 of the family's 1533-position model. The record is from RNAcentral.
UACGUAGGGCGCAAGCGUUGUCCGGAAUUAUUGGGCGUAAAGAGCUCGUAGGCGGCUUGUCACGUCGGGUGUGAAAGCCCGGGGCUUAACCCCGGGUCUGCAUUCGAUACGGGCAGGCUGGAGUUCGGCAGGGGAGACUGGAAUUCCUGGUGUAGCGGUGAAAUGCGCAGAUAUCAGGAGGAACACCGGUGGCGAAGGCGGGUCUCUGGGCCGAUACUGACGCUGAGGAGCGAAAGCGUGGGGAGCGAACAGG